CGGAGGAAAAGAAACUAACAAGGAUUCCCCUAGUAACGGCGAGUGAAGCGGGAAGAGCUCAAAUUUGAAAUCUGGUGGCCUCAGGUCAUCCGAGUUGUAAUCUAUAGAAGUGUUUUCCGUGCUGGCUCAUGUACAAGUCCCUUGGAACAGGGCGUCAUAGAGGGUGAGAAUCCCGUCCUUGACAUGAACUACCAGUGCUCUGUGAUACAUUUUCAACGAGUCGAGUUGUUUGGGAAUGCAGCUCAAAAUGGGUGGUAAAUUCCAUCUAAAGCUAAAUAUUGGCGAGAGACCGAUAGCGAACAAGUACCGUGAGGGAAAGAUGAAAAGCACUUUGGAAAGAGAGUUAAACAGUAUGUGAAAUUGUUGAAAGGGAAACGAUUGAAGUCAGUCGUGCUCUUUGGAUUCAGCCGGUUCUGCCGGUGUACUUCCUUUGAGUGGGGUCAACAUCAGUUUUGAUCGCUGGAUAAAGGCUGGAGGAACGUAGUACCCUCGGGUAAACUUAUAGCCUCCUGUCACAUACAGUGGUUGGGACUGAGGAACGCAGCACGCCUUUAUGGCCGGGAUUCGUCCACGUACGUGCUUAGGAUGUUGACAUAAUGGCUUUAAACGACCCGUCU
RNAcentral lists this ribosomal RNA (617 nucleotides) under Filobasidium magnum. RNAcentral's name for it is "partial large subunit ribosomal RNA". It matches the Rfam family "Eukaryotic large subunit ribosomal RNA", at positions 51 to 654 of the family's 3401-position model. The record is from RNAcentral. RNAcentral also lists the same sequence under 1 other name. Lineage: Eukaryota; Fungi; Basidiomycota; Tremellomycetes; Filobasidiales; Filobasidiaceae.